GACGAACGCUGGCGGCGUGCUUAACACAUGCAAGUCGAACGGUGAUCCCAGGAGCUUGCUUCUGGGUGAGCAGUGGCGAACGGGUGAGUAACACGUGAGUAACCUGCCCCUGACUCUGGAAUAAGCGCUGGAAACGGCGUCUAAUACCGGAUACGAGACGCAACCGCAUGGUUAGUGUCUGGAAAGGUUUUCGGGCUGGGAUGGACUCGCGGCCUAUCAGCUUGUUGGUGAGGUAAUGGCUCACCAAGGCGAUGACGGGUAGCCGGCCUGAGAGGGCGAUCGGCCACACUGGGACUGAGACACGGCCCAGACUCCUACGGGAGGCAGCAGUGGGGAAUAUUGCACAAUGGGCGAAAGCCUGAUGCAGCGACGCCGCGUGAGGGAUGACGGCCUUCGGGUUGUAAACCUCUUUCAGCAGGGAAGAAGCGCAAGUGACGGUACCUGCAGAAGAAGCACCGGCUAACUACGUGCCAGCAGCCGCAGUAA
Molecule: ribosomal RNA, 486 nt
Filed under: uncultured bacterium
Lineage: Bacteria
Description: partial 16S ribosomal RNA
Rfam family: Bacterial small subunit ribosomal RNA
Source: RNAcentral